Molecule: unclassified non-coding RNA, 1324 nt
Filed under: Melitaea cinxia (Glanville fritillary)
Lineage: Eukaryota; Metazoa; Arthropoda; Insecta; Lepidoptera; Nymphalidae
Description: misc RNA ENSMCXG00005000728.1
Source: RNAcentral
AUGUAAAUGCUUGCUAACCAGCGCGGUUACAUGUUGGUUCCUACUUUCUUAACAUUUCUUAUGUAUUCGUUUUGAAUAUCAUCCUAAGUGGCCUUUGUUCUUUGUUAUAUUUUGAAAUAUUGUGUUAUGAAGAGCAAUAUAUCGAGAAUAAAGAAAAAUAAGGCAAUAAGAAACAAUAUGGUUCUCCUACGCAAGUCAUAUUCCUAUAGGAAAAUAGCCAUGUGCUCUAAUUUUUGUGAUGACUUAUAAAUAAUCAAAAUGGCGGAUUGGAGAUCAACCAACAGACCGCGUGCCUAUGAAGAGGUAACCGAGACUACUUGAAUAACCAGGCAAACUUCCAAAAUAGGAAACGUUAGAAUGAUUCAAAAAAAAAAAAAAAAAAAAAAAAAUCGGAAAAGGACAAAAUCCAAACAAGCCGAUUUACCGAUGUCCUUGUACUAAUUGAAGGUACGAUAAGUCGACAAGUAAAUGGAAUGACGAAGGAAUGGGUACAGGACAGGAGUUAAAGACGCAAGUUACCUGAAAAAAGGUCCACCUGCUCAUGACCACCCUUGCUGUAUGAGAUGGUUCAACAACAUCUACAAUGUCAUUGACACCACGAUUAAUAUAUUAAAGUACAUCUUUGUUUUUUUUUACGUUUAUAUUUUUUGGUUCUUUCUUUCUGAUCCAUGGUUGUUUGUUUACGUACUCACUUGCACAACCACAUAUACCUAGUUAGUUGAUUGCUUUUACAAUAGAUUGUCUGAUAGAGAUUGCCAAUAGUAAUAACGAGGACUUUGUGUACUUAAACUUAACUUAUGUAUAUUUUUGGUUUUUCUUUUUUCUUUAGUCUUAGCUGAUUACUUUACCAGAGAAUGUGCGUUAUACGCUCGGAAAAUUGUAUUUUUUUUCUUUGUUAGCGCAUAAAUUUUUUAGAUUUUUGCUGUAAAUAUUUAACUACCCAUUUGUAAAAUACGUAAAUUUUUUUAUGUAUUAUUCGCUACCUAAUCGUUGUCUAGAAACACAUCUAUAUGGUAGGCCAGGCCGCCCCAGGCCGCCCCAAGCCGCCUUUGUACGUUUUUAUGUUUAAGCUAAUUCUCAAAAGUUGUGUACAAUAUCACUCUAUGAGCGCUCUUGAUGUAUUGCAUUAUCAAUAGUUAGCCCUAGCUAUAGUUUUAGAUAGUUUUGUUAUUUUAAAUAUAAUAUCGUGAAUAUUUGUUAGAAGUGAACUUGUGGUGACUAAGCACGUACUAAGUGUGUUUUUGUAUAAAUGAUGUUUACAAAUGUCAAUUAUUAUUUGUAAUUGUAAUGAAAUAAAUGAUAUGAAAAAAGUUUUGUAUUUUUC